Hymenobacter psychrotolerans DSM 18569 is the source of this 1319-nucleotide non-coding RNA. The record is from Rfam. Lineage: Bacteria; Pseudomonadati; Bacteroidota; Cytophagia; Cytophagales; Hymenobacteraceae.
CAAGAAGUAAGCAAGGGCACACGGGGGAUGCCUAGGCUCUCAGAGGCGAUGAAGGACGCGAUAAGCUGCGAAAAGCGACGGGAAGGAGCACAUAUCCGGUGAUCCGUCGGUAUCCGAAUGGGGCAACCCCCUUGGUUGAAGACCAAGGACCUCUUUCUAUAGGAAAGCAGGGGCAAACCCGGGGAACUGAAACAUCUAAGUACCCGGAGGAAAAGAAAAUAACAAUGAUUCCCCAAGUAGUGGCGAGCGAACGGGGAGGAGCCCAAACCGGGUUGGUUACGGCCAGUCCGGGGUUGUAGGACCACGAUAUCUGAUUCAUACACAUUAGCUGAACGACGUGGGAAAGUCGAUCAUAGAGGGUGAGAAUCCCGUAAGCGAACUUGUGUGUGACGGUAGUGGAAUCCUGAGUAAGGCGGGACCAGCGAAAUCCCGUCUGAAUCCGGCGGUACCAUCCGCCAAGGCUACAUACUCCUGAGAGACCGAUAGUGAACUAGUACCGUGAGGGAAAGGUGAAAAGAACCGGGAAUACCGGAGUGAAAAGAACCUGAAACCGUGUGCUUACAAGCAGUUAGAGGGCUUUUGUGGCCUGAUAGCGUGCCUUUUGCAUAAUGAGCCUACGAGUUACUCCUCUCUGGCAAGGUUAAGUGUUUUGAAGCACGGAGCCGCAGCGAAAGCGAGUCUGAAUAGGGCGCAGAGUCAGAGGGGGUAGACGCGAAACUUUGUGAUCUACCCUUGGGCAGGUUGAAGGUUGGGUAACACCAACUGGAGGACCGAACCAGUUUCCGUUGAAAAGGAUUUGGAUGACCUGAGGGUAGGGGUGAAAGGCCAAUCAAACUGAGAAAUAGCUCGUACUCCCCGAAAUGUAUUUAGGUACAGCGUCGGCGUUGAGUUACGUGGAGGUAGAGCUACCGAUAGGACUAGGGGGUGUCACAGCCUACCGAAUCCUGACGAACUCCGAAUGCCACGUAAUAUAGCCGGCAGUGAGGCUUGGGGUGCUAAGGUCCCAGGCCGAGAGGGAAAGAACCCAGACCAUCUGCUAAGGUCCCUAAAUUCGGACUAAGUUGAACAAAGGAGGUCCACUUGCUUUGACAGCCAGGAGGUUGGCUUGGAAGCAGCCAUUCCUUUAAAGAGUGCGUAACAGCUCACUGGUCGAGCGAGAGGGCAUCGAUAAUACGCGGGCAUCAAGUCCGGUACCGAAGCAAUGGAUUUACGCUAUGCGUAAGUGGUAGGGGAGCAUUCCAGCAGCGGUGAAGCCGUGUCGUAAGGCCUGGUGGAGCGGCUGGAAAAGCAAAUGUAGGCAUGAGUAACGAUAAGGCGGG